Molecule: ribosomal RNA, 185 nt
Filed under: uncultured Acinetobacter sp.
Lineage: Bacteria; Pseudomonadati; Pseudomonadota; Gammaproteobacteria; Moraxellales; Moraxellaceae
Description: partial 16S ribosomal RNA
Rfam family: Bacterial small subunit ribosomal RNA
Source: RNAcentral
CCUUUAUGGCCCAGGGCUACACACGUGCUACAAUGGGUGGUACAAAGGGUUGCUACCUAGCGAUAGGAUGCUAAUCUCAAAAAGCCGAUCGUAGUCCGGAUUGGAGUCUGCAACUCGACUCCAUGAAGUCGGAAUCGCUAGUAAUCGCGGAUCAGAAUGCCGCGGUGAAUACGUUCCCGGGCCUU